GGAUGUGAGAGUGAUCUGGCUGUUACAUAUGUCACUCCCUGAUCAUCAGGAUUGGUUCAACUGAUCUGGCUGGCGAGGCGGGUGGCCCCAUCCCUCACUGCUUCAUGUGCGUCCCCCUCCUGAAGCUGUGUUCUGGGUCGAAGAGGAUGGUCCUCCCUAAAUAGAAACUGACCAGUCUUCAGUUGAAGGUAAACGAGUAGCUGCGCUACCCUGCUAGAACCUCCAAACAGACUCUCAAGGAAAAAAAUGUCAAAUAAAUAUAAAUAUAGAUAAUUACAGAAAUAAUCGUCAACCCCAUAUGUGUGAC
Molecule: non-coding RNA, 307 nt
Organism: Erinaceus europaeus (western European hedgehog)
Lineage: Eukaryota; Metazoa; Chordata; Mammalia; Eulipotyphla; Erinaceidae
Source: Rfam